CGGCCCGACCCUGCGCGUUGUCGCCCGCGCCACCCGCUCGCCCGCCCGGCUCGCUCGGAUCGCCGCCACGCGUGGAGUCACAGCCCCGGAACCGCCACCGCCGCCGCCGCCGGUGCCGGCGGCCCCUCAAUUCCUGCGGCGCGCCCGGCCAUCUUCGUUCCUCCGCGCGGCCCGGUCGGGAGGGGCGGGGCGCGCGCAGUCCCCGCCCUCUCCCGCUGCUCCGCCCCCUCCUCUCGGUCCCCCUCGGCUGCACCUCCUGUCUUUGCUGCUAGCCUUGCAGUCUCCCUCCGCUGCUCCGCCUCCAAGCUCCCCCGGGGCUCCUCCGCUACCCGCUCCUCUACCCCCGAGCCCCCCCCUCCUCCUGCGGCGGCUCCCCCGGCUCCCCCGCCCGCGGGGCCCUUUCCCCCCCCCCCACUCCCAGCCGCUGCUCCUCCUUCUCCUUCCCCUCCCGCCCCGCGCGCUCCUCCCUCUUCCCAUUCCACCACCUCCCUCCUCCGGCCUCGCCGGGAAACCGCGCGGGGGCCAGGAUGGGCGCCGCCGCGUCCGUCCGCCCCCGGGCCACCACGGAGAGGAAGGAGGGCCGGGAGGACGGCACCCCACCCGAGCUGCAGACACGGCCCGCCUGGGGCUGACUCCUGGGACCCAAACAAUUCCCGGGGGAGAGGGCGGUCACCUCAUUUUACCCGUUCCCAGGCCUUGGAGGUCUGGGGGCCUCCCUUCUACUCACUUGGGGCGGGGGGGGGGGGACAUGUGCCUUGGGUCUCCCGAAUACCCGAGAUGGUCCCGCGAAGUGGGGUAAAGCCCCGGAGGGGAGGCCGAGGGAGCUCGGGUAGCUGGAUGAGGUACCAGUGGCCAGUCAUCUUGGGUGGAGCUGGGAGGACACACCUGGAAGCGGGGAGCCGGGUAGGUGGCCACUUAUGCAUCCCUGCCAGGAGAGCCCCAGAAGGGCUGAUCCGGAGUCCCCGCUCUGGGCCAGGCCCCCUGACCUGCCUUGAGCUCUUCCACCUUCCAGAGCGGAGGUUCUGA
RNAcentral lists this long non-coding RNA (1026 nucleotides) under Ursus thibetanus thibetanus. RNAcentral describes it as "lncRNA (ENSUTTG00000019564.1)". Lineage: Eukaryota; Metazoa; Chordata; Mammalia; Carnivora; Ursidae. The record is from RNAcentral.